GUGCUUGCUUCGGCAGCACAUAUACUAAAAUUGGAACGAUACAGAGAAGAUUAGCAUAGCCCCUGUGCAAGGAUGACACGCAAAUUCGUGAAGUGUUCCAUAUAAAA
This 107-nucleotide small nuclear RNA is filed under the name Prolemur simus (greater bamboo lemur). The record is from RNAcentral. Lineage: Eukaryota; Metazoa; Chordata; Mammalia; Primates; Lemuridae.